GUCCCGCCCACCGGCCCAUUGCCCCUCCCUGCCUUACUCCCCACAUCUCUCCCCACCAUGGGACACCUGGGGAGCCCAGGACGCGGAGUCCUCCUCCAGCCCAGGGAUGUGACGUCAGCAGGUGGCUGGAGGAUACUCAGGAUGAUGGUGCACUGCACCCGACACAUGUCACAGCCAGCGCGAAGGCCCCAGACUGCAUGGCGCCCUGGCCCCUGGACGCUGGUGGGGGUGCCCACGGGGCUGGCACAGCCCUGCGACCUGGCCCUGUGUGGUUCUUAGCAGCUUUGCAGCCGUCAGGAGCAUUUUGGGUGCAAGAGCCAGGAACCCGACAUGAUUUAACCGGAUGUUUCUGUGUUAUCUGCCAACCCCGCCCUGGUCAGCUGGCAAAACAAUGGGAGGAUAGACACGCUGAUGCGCUCCAUGUGCAGGAUCUAAUUUAAUCCUUAUCAAAAUGCGUGAAGUUGACAGAAGGAAUUGUUGAAUUUCAGAGAAGUCUCUUAUCGCCACAAAGGACGCUGGUUAGACAAGAGGAACCGGCCUCCCACGUCAGCCUCCGCAGAGGCAGAAUGAGCCCUCGUGGACACGACUUCCUCCCCUCUCUGCUUCCAGAACAACCCGUGGCUUCGGUGGCUCCACCCAGUUUCACUGACGUGGCAGUGACACCGACAGCGCGCCCGAAGCCACAAUCUGAAUCGCCCUGUGACCAGCAUGCAGAGGUGGGAACCUGUGCCCAGCCCUGCCCCAAAGCCCCCCCCAGGGCUCUCCCCCUGCCUGUGCCCCGACUCAGGGCACCCUUGUGCUAGUCUUUCUUCAAGAGGAGCCCACCGGGUGAGCCCCUGGCAUAUGCUUGCCCACUUUUCCAUGGGGUUGUCUAACUUUUUCUUGUUGAUCUGCAGGAAUUCUUUAUAUAUUUAUACAUCCUGGACAAAAGCCUUUGAUGCUUUGCUGCACGUGUGCAUUGCAAAUGCCCCUCCCCACUGCCUUUUCUGUUGCAGUUGUGACACUCAAAGUUUUACUUGGGUUUUAAAUGCAGCGAGGGACUCCAGGGGCACCUGGGUGGCUCAGUCGGUUAAAUGUUCUGACUUUGGCUCAGGUCAU
Long non-coding RNA from Suricata suricatta (meerkat), 1098 nucleotides. RefSeq lists it as uncharacterized. The transcript has 4 exons. NCBI's taxonomy places the organism in Eukaryota, Metazoa, Chordata, Mammalia, Carnivora, Herpestidae. The record is from RefSeq and is a predicted model, not a curated record.